Molecule: ribosomal RNA, 380 nt
Filed under: uncultured eukaryote
Lineage: Eukaryota
Description: partial 18S ribosomal RNA
Rfam family: Eukaryotic small subunit ribosomal RNA
Source: RNAcentral
CGAUAGCGUAUAUUAAAGUUGUUGCGGUUAAAAAGCUCGUAGUUGGAUUUCUGCUGAGGACGAUCGGUCCGCCCUCUGGGUGAGUAUCUGGCUCGGCCUUGGCAUCUUCUUGGAGAACGUUACUGCACUUGACUGUGUGGUGCGGUAUCCAGGACUUUUACUUUGAGGAAAUUAGAGUGUUUCAAGCAGGCGCACGCCUUGAAUACAUUAGCAUGGAAUAAUAAGAUAGGACCUUGGUUCUAUUUUGUUGGUUUCUAGAGCUGAGGUAAUGAUUAAUAGGGAUAGUUGGGGGCAUUCGUAUUUAACUGUCAGAGGUGAAAUUCUCGGAUUUGUUAAAGACGGACUACUGCGAAAGCAUUUGCCAAGGAUGUUUUCAUUGA